Molecule: ribosomal RNA, 465 nt
Filed under: uncultured bacterium
Lineage: Bacteria
Description: partial 16S ribosomal RNA
Rfam family: Bacterial small subunit ribosomal RNA
Source: RNAcentral
CCUACGGGAGGCAGCAGUAGGGAAUCUUCCACAAUGGACGAAAGUCUGAUGGAGCAACGCCGCGUGAGUGAAGAAGGGUUUCGGCUCGUAAAGCUCUGUUGGUAGUGAAGAAAGAUAGAGGUAGUAACUGGCCUUUAUUUGACGGUAAUUACUCAGAUAGUCUAGGCUAACUACGUGCCAGCAGCCGCGGUAAUACGUAGGUGGCAAGCGUUGUCCGGUUUUAUUGGGCGUAAAGCGAGUGCAGGCGGUUAGAUAAGUCUGAUGUGAAAGCCAUCGGCUCAACCGGUGAAUUGCAUCGGAAACUGUUGAACUAGAGUGCAGGAGAGGAGAGUGGAACUCCAUGUGUAGCGGUGAAAUGCGUAGAUAUAUGGAAGAACACCAGUGGCGAAGGCGGCUCACUGGUCUGCAACUGACGCUGAGGCUCGAAAGCGUGGGUAGCGAACAGGAUUAGAUACCCCUGUAGUC